Molecule: long non-coding RNA, 342 nt
Filed under: Mytilus galloprovincialis (Mediterranean mussel)
Lineage: Eukaryota; Metazoa; Mollusca; Bivalvia; Mytilida; Mytilidae
Source: RNAcentral
GUUUUGCUGAUAGUGAUGUGUUUGUAGAUCUUACUUUACUGAACAUUCUUGGUACUUAGAAUUUUCUCUAUCUAUAAUAAACUUGGACCUUUAGAUACAGUGAAAAAUAUUUUGUAAAAAUUUACAAAAAUUUACCAAAUUAGUGAAAAUUGUUAAAAAUUGAAUAAAAUGGGCAACAACUCCUUAAGGGGUCAACUGACGAUUUUGGUCAUGUUGACUUAUUUCUAGAUCUUACUUAGCUGAACAUUAUUGCUCUUUACAAGUUAUCUCUAUCUACAACAAUAUUCAAGAUAAUAACCAAAAGCAGCAAAAUUUCCUUAAAAUUACUAAUUCAGGGGCAGC